Molecule: long non-coding RNA, 1978 nt
Filed under: Sus scrofa (pig)
Lineage: Eukaryota; Metazoa; Chordata; Mammalia; Artiodactyla; Suidae
Description: lncRNA (ENSSSCG00050026300.1)
Source: RNAcentral
GAAGAAAGCAUCAGCAGUUAUUUGUGCUGAGAGGAUCAUAAAGUGAGUGACGACGAUGAAGCUGGAAGUGCCUGCGGAAAUGGUGGGAUGUCUGGGGUGGAGGAGGACUGGGAGGCGAAGGGGAGCAUGGUGAAGGUGUUCAGGGGAAGUAAUGUCAUCGCCCAAAGCAUCUGGCUCUGUGGAUUUGAAAAUUGUUCUCAGGGCAGCUCUUAUUAUUGGGAAUUCAGAUAGGAUCAUUGCAGAAAGGAAUAUGGUUUUGAUUAUUUCUGUAGUCAUUCUAGAAAUGCAAAGUCAAUAUUAGGCACUUAUUUACAUUUAUUAUUUAUUUUGGACCUAGUAGAAUUUUGCAUCUCUCUGACCUGUAUAAUGCUUAUCUCAGCCUGCUUCUUGGAGUCUCGCUGACUUCCACUCUUCCCUCAGUCAUGUCCAGUCAUUAUCAAAUGGCUCUAGGCAAAUUCAUCUUUCUUAGCCUCCAUUUCCUUGGGUUCUACCUUUGUUGUGUCCUUCACAGCCUGUCCUGUUUUCUCUUUGCCCCUCUCCUUGCCUGUACUCUGCCUUGUGUAGGCUCUUUAGCUCUUACCUGGACCUCUCUGGUUUCCCUCCUCCCAUCUAUUUCUCUUUGACCUGCCUACCCAGAGCACGGCAGGAGGGCAGCUAACACCAUUUACUAGGUGCUUUUUCUGUGCCAAGCCCUGGGGUGUAUGUUACAUGAUAUUUCUAGUAUUUCAGUAACCCUGAAACAGUGGUAUUACUUCCAUUGUACAUCUUGGGAGGCUCCAGAAAGAUCAUAACAUGCUCAUACCAGCUAGAAUGAUAACCUAAAGCUGGUGGACACCACAGUUCAUGCGAUUCCCUAUUCAUGUUGCUUACUCUGCUCAGAAGUCUUCAGUGGCUCCCAUUGCCUAAUUUUUAGAUCAAGUCCAGGCUUUUUUUUUUUUUUUUUUUUUUUUUUUUUGUCUCCUUAGGGCUGCACCUGCAGCAUAUGGAGGUUCCCAUGCUACUGUGGUGUAGGUUGCAGACGCGGCUCGGAUCCCGAGUUGCUGUGGCUGUGGCGUAGGCCGGGGGCUACAGCUCCGAUUCGACCCCUAGCCUGGGAACCUCCAUAUGCCGCGGGAGCGGCCCAAGAAAUAGCAAAAAGACAAAAAAAAAAAAGAAUAGAAGAGGAAUUGUUUAAAGUAGAGAGAGAGUGAGAAAGAGUGAAAAAAAUGAAGAUGCUAGCAAAAGCACCAGUAGUGGAUUCUGAGAUAAGGAUUCUAGGAGGUAGGCGUGGCAGUACCCUCUGUUGUGUGCGCAGCUGGGCCUCAGCUUGGACUGGUGGGCAGUGAUGUAUAGUGGGUCAAGGAGUAUGGCUGCUGACUGAUUUUUGUCACUCACUGCUCUAGUUUCCUGCUCCUCAUGCUGAGAUAGAUAAUACCCAUAGAUCGCUUUGAGUUCCCAUCUAUCUGAAGCAUUUCUAGAUUUGCAGUUCAGGUUUCUUUCUGCAGAGCCAGAAUGUGUCCUUUCUUUUCAGACCUCUUCCCACCUCAGAACACUGAGGACAAGCCCACCAUCCUUUAUCUAAACACAGUGGGCUAGAUAUAUUCAGAAAUUUAAUUUUCUAGAUAUUAGAAAGGUAAAAUGGUACAUUCCCAUAUAUUGUAUAAUAUUUCCAGUGGUGUCUGGGUCAGCAUCCCAAAACAAAUACAAUCACAUUUCCACCAACAAAUGUACAGGUUAUCACCUAAGUGAGAAAAGGAAUGAGUAUACUCAGCUAUAUGUCAAGAAGGUCAGGGGAGUUCCCAUUGUGGCUUAGCAGUAAUGAACCUGACUAGGAUCCAUGAGGAUGUGUGUUCGAUCCCUUGCCUCACUCAGUGGAUUAAGGAUCUGGCAUUGCUGUGAGCCGUGGUGUAGGCCAGCAGCUGUAGCUCCGAUUCGACCCCUAGCAUUUGGGAACUUCCAUGUGUUGCAGGUGUGGCCCUAAAAAGCAAAAAAAAAAAAA